AGGGCUGCGACCCAAACGGAGAGGGAGUGUGACGGGGGCGCGCGCCUCCCAACUUUCUUCCCACCUCCCGGCUCUCACCGCGGCGGUUUGAGAUCCAAGCCUGUAAUUCUCACGUCCGGAGGUGAGAAGGAGCCUUCGUGAUCUAAGCUCGAUUCCUGCCGGGGUAGCAACCGGACUGACGUCUGGAGGCGGGGAGGCUCCGCGUGACAGAGUGAUAACGCCCGGGGCGUAUGUUCUGCGGUCCGCGCGGCUGGGCGGGAGGCCCGAGAUAGGCAAACCAAAGAGCACAACCUACUGCCAGCCUGGAUGGGGCGCCAAAGUCCGACCCAGGGGGACACACCCCAAGCUGGGGACCGAGGCACCCACAGAUGGAUGACUGGCUGGAAGGAGAUUAGGUAGGUAGCAGAGUCCGUCCAUUUAUUCAUUUAGCAAGUAUUGAGCACCUGCUAUGUGCCAGGGGUUGUGGACAAAGCGAGGAAUUCCUGACACGAAAAACUAUGUUAAGAGAGGAGGCAGGGUGAGAGCACCCUUCAAACAAUCAAACACCUGUAUAAAUACAAACUGCUCUUCAGGGAGGAGCAGGGGUUUUGGGAGAAUUUACAGAAGCUUCUAGGCUGGUGUUGGGAAUCACAGGAGGCUAACUAGGCAAAGGGGAGAGGAAGUGUGUUUCAGAUGGAGAGAUUAGCAUGUAUAUAAGAACUCUGUGGAAGGCAGCAGAGCUCCUUUGAGGGAUGAAAAGAAACCCAGAAAGGGGGAAAUGGAAAGUUAGUGCUUAAUAGGUACAGAAUUUCAGCUGGAGAAGAUGAAACAGUUCUGGAAAUGGAUAGUAGUGAUGAUCACACAACAAUGUGAAUGUACCAAAUGCCACAGAUCUGCACACUUAAAAAUGGUUAUGUACAUUUUACCACAAAAA
Long non-coding RNA from Homo sapiens (human), 913 nucleotides. NCBI's taxonomy places the organism in Eukaryota, Metazoa, Chordata, Mammalia, Primates, Hominidae. The record is from Ensembl.